CCUACGGGGGGCUGCAGUGAGGAAUAUUGGUCAAUGGACGAGAGUCUGAACCAGCCAAGUAGCGUGAAGGAUGACUGCCCUAUGGGUUGUAAACUUCUUUUAUAUGGGAAUAAAAUGUUCCACGUGUGGGAUUUUGUAUGUACCAUAUGAAUAAGGAUCGGCUAACUCCGUGCCAGCAGCCGCGGUAAUACGGAGGAUCCGAGCGUUAUCCGGAUUUAUUGGGUUUAAAGGGAGCGUAGGUGGAUUGUUAAGUCAGGUGUGAAAGUUUGCGGCUCAACCGUAAAAUUGCAGUUGAAACUGGCAGUCGUGAGUACAGUAGAGGUGGGCGGAAUUCGUGGUGUAGCGGUGAAAUGCUUAGAUAUCACGAAGAACUCCGAUUGCGAAGGCAGCUCACUGGACUGCAACUGACACUGAGGCUCGAAAGUGUGGGUAUCAAACAGGAUUAGAGACCCGUGUAGUC
This 460-nucleotide ribosomal RNA is filed under the name uncultured bacterium. RNAcentral's name for it is "partial 16S ribosomal RNA". It matches the Rfam family "Bacterial small subunit ribosomal RNA", at positions 338 to 795 of the family's 1533-position model. The record is from RNAcentral.